This is a long non-coding RNA of Triticum aestivum (bread wheat), 4286 nucleotides long. RefSeq lists it as uncharacterized. The record is from RefSeq and is a predicted model, not a curated record. The transcript is spliced from 2 exons. NCBI's taxonomy places the organism in Eukaryota, Viridiplantae, Streptophyta, Magnoliopsida, Poales, Poaceae.
CUUCGGGCGUGCCUUGCCAGCCUCUAUAUCGGUAUUACUUUUCAUAAUUCAUAACUCUAUUAGUAUUUUGGAAAGUGAUUGUUCCUUUGUGGCCUCUUUUCUUACAAAUGAUACACUUGACAAGUCCAACCUCACUGUCCUGAAAAGGGAAGCCAUUGCCUUGAUUGGACUUCUUGAAGACUUUAAGCUUUCUAAAAUCAACCGUUGCCCAAAUUCGGGGGCGCAUGACAUUGCAAAUUUAGUUUUGACAAUAGGCCGGACAGUGUUCUUCUUGAUUCGUUUCCAUCUUGCGCGGCGUAUGUUGCAUGAAUUAUUGUAAUACCUUGUUUAAUUGAGUAAUAUAUGGGGUGGUGUUUUCAAAAAAUAUCUAAUACACUCUACAUAGGAUAAUGGAGUGUGUAGGGGUAAUAAUUUUGGUUUUAUGCGUCUUUGUUGGUACAAAGACUAGGAGUAACAAAUCUUUCCUCCCUCUUCAGACAAAUACAACGUAAUUUUGACCAAAGAAUGGAAGUGACAUUAAAUAGAAUAAUUAUUAUGCGUAAAAAGGAAACAAAAUUUAGAUGAAUAAGGGGUGUAUGUGGCCAAGUAGACACUGACGUGAAAUUGAAAUAGCAGGUUUCUUUGUGGUGUGAAGUUAGAUGUGGCACGUAAUUUUAACAUUUCUUUGUGGUGUGAAGUUAGAUGUAUUAUGAAAUCCAAAAAAAAUAAAAUUACACCCUGAAGUGAAAUGAAAAAUAACAGGUUUCCGAAAAAGGAAGUGAAAAGUAGCGUGCUGCCUCACGCAAAUAGUCUUGCUAAAUUUCAGUCAACUGAGAUUUGGUUUUGUCUUAGUCGAUGUCAUAUUUGUGAGAUCUUAUAUUUAGAUCCGUGCAUAUUUUUUUUGUUACAUGUUAUGUCUUGGUUAACUAAGCCAAAACAGUGUUCUCUCGAGAGAGAGAAAAAAGAACAGUUUUACUAAAAAACAGGCGUCUGUUUUCAUUUUGGCUUCAAGUCGAAUUUUCUGUCGUUCGAUUCAGUUCUGAGAUCUGCGCUGGUGUGGCUGAACUUUUUGGGCCCGCUUUGUCUUAGUGGGUCUCAGUGGAUCCUUUUGGGUUAUUUUCGCGCCCGCUGUUUUCCAGGGUCGCGUGGAGGAUCUGGUCUGUCCUCCUCAAUCCUUAUCCAUGGCGACGACGGUGGGCUCGAGGCGACGACGGAGAGGUCUCGGCGACGGCGGCGCAGGUUGAUUGGAAUUCAGUUUUGCAAGUCUCUACAGCAGUCAAUUAAAAUUGAGGCAAAACCAAUGCUUUUGUGAUGAUUUCGUUGUGUCUAGAUGGAACUGAAAUGCUACCAUGUGCUCAAUUUUAUUUAAUGUGAAAGUCAUGCAAUCAUGUCAAGAUAAUAUACUACAUAUAUUAGUUACUAGGUGUUUGUUUCGAUUCAUGGUGUCCAUGAAUGUUGUAGUCUUGUUUUACAUUCUGUACAUAUGAAAAUCUGCAGCAAUUUGGUACAAGCAGUACCCUGAAUCACAUAUCUGAGGUGUUCCAUCUUAUUCUAUUGUCUCUAUAUAUUUCCCAUGUUUUUUUGUUAUCACGCAAGUCCCUGUUUCUUGGUCAUCAAGCUUGUUGCUUCCCUCGACCAUUUUUUUUCAAAAGUCAGAAGGUUUCAUUGCAGCUUUAUAUAGCUUAAAUUGUAGUCUUAUGCACCCCAUCUUUUUAUUUGGUCUCUAGUGUUUUGCUAAACAUAUACAUUCCCCCUUAACCAAUUCAUACAAGCAUUUCUCUGUGAAUGUAUUGAUACUUAUGUAAUAGUGGUAAUCCGUCGAAUUUUCUUCAAUGAGUAGUCUCAACUGCUUGAGGUGGUCACGUUUCCGUUUUUUGGGUGGGUUCCUGGUCAGUUGAGCUCUGGCCCAUUCUCAUAUGCUAAUCUUGUGUAGGAAGAUUGCCAGUGUUGCACGAGCAUGGAAUUGUGGAUGUCGUUAUGCACUAUUCUAAGGUGUCGGCUAGCUGGCUAGAGGCGUGUGUGGUCACGGCCUAGUGGCUUUUGUUCAUUUUCUUCACUCUAGUGUCUUUUUUGUCCAUUUCUCCCUAAGUCUCUUGGUCUGGUCUCUUAUGUUGUUGCCAAUCAUUUUCUCUAUAUAUUCAUUCUAAGAUGAACAACUGACUUCUUAUUAUUCUUCUUAGAAAUCAGUUUGUAGUGUCCUACUUAAGUGUCUACCUUUUAAAUUUCAAGCCCAAAACUUAAAACUGGCUAUCCUUUUCGGUAAAUAUUUUUGUUGUUCACUCUUUUUUCUUUAGUUUUCAUUUUUCGUAUAUAAAUAGGAGUGUCCUACUUAAGUGGCUCAAGAUAGGCAUGGUUGUUACUGAAUCCUCAUUCUCAUCCUUCAGUCUCGCCGCCUCUAUUUUUUUAGUCUGCACUUUGUUUGUCACUCUGUAAGCUUGCUAUUUUAAUCAUUUAUCUGUUGUCUUGUCAUUCGUCAUUGAUAUGCCUUGCCAUCUUGUCAGUUAUAGAGGACGGCAAAGUCUUCGCUUAAUUUUCCUCCCCAUUCAUCAUUUCUACUUUUUCAUUUCUUCAGUAUUUUAUCUCUUUUUUAGUCUGAGUUAGUGUAUCUUUUUCAGCUAAAAAUGAUAGUAAAUUAGUCUUUCAUUUGUCCCACUUAUUUUCAGUACUUAUUCCUAAGUAUUCAUGGUUCAUUAUUUUUGUUCCUCAGUUUGUAAGCUUGCCAUAUUAGUUUUUCUAAUAGUAUUUGUCCUCAUUUUAUCAUAUUUAGUUAUCAUUUGCAUCUUUCUUCAGUCCUAUCUCUCAUGAGUCUUGUCUUUUAGUAGAUGUUAUUUCUGUUUUGAACCUUAUGUUCAUGUAAGUCCUAAGUUUUUAGAUUUUUGCACAAUUUUUUUCCUAGAUUAUUUUCAGUUUUUAGUCAUCAGUACUCCUAAGUAUCAGUUUUAGUUCUCUUCAACUAUACGUCAAGUGAUUAGUUAUUUGGUUAGUGUUUGCUCAGUAUCUUAAGUGUCUCAUUUAGUUCUCUUCAGUUAUUUGGUCAGUGUUUGUUCUUGUCUAUCAGUUUUAAGUUAAGUCAUUUAUUAUUCUAACUAGUUUAAUUUCCAUUCAGCUUAUUAUUUUUAGUUUACUUUGCUAUUCCUGUAUUUUCAGCAUUCAUUUUAAAUUUGUUAGACUUGAUAUGUGUUUAUAAUUCCUAUAGUUUAAAUUAGUUAUCUGGUGAGUCUCUGUUCUUAGUUUUUCAGUCAUCUUUUUGCUAACAAAUAGUUUUUUCUCUGCCCCAUAUGUAAUGGGGAUGGCGUACCCAAUCUGCAAGACCGACUGCGCUGGCCGUCGCUCAUCGCGUUUAAAUUUUGGGGUUUGGUUGUCUGAGGACUUUGAAAGCUUUGUGAUAACUUAGUUUUGAAUAUGUUCAAUUUAUCACUAUAGUUCUGUUUCAAAAAAAAUCACUAUAAUCUGGUUCACUGUCAUGGUCAGUUAUUAAUUUAUCACUACAGUCUAGUUCUUGUUAUGGUUAUUUUUUCAUUCAUCACUCAUUUUUACAAGGCCAUGAUGUGGAUAUUACCAACACCUCCCUGUAUGUUUUAUGAUAGCAUGAUAGUUGCCCUGUUCAGUUAAACAUUUCAUUUCUUCUUUAUUUUGUCUAUGAAUUUAGUUUUUUCCUGUUUCAGAUACAAACUUAGUCCUUUUAGCUGAUAGAAUUAUAUCAACUUUAGCUUUUUCUUAGAUUUCUUUUUCUCAUUUAGUCAUUACUUGUUGCAUUCAUUUCCUUUUUUAGUCCAUCAUUUUUUAGAGUUUAGCUAUUUGUCAGUCUCAUCUGCAAACAUCUCAUUCCCCGGCAAGCAUGAGGAUAGCCUAUAUUUUGCCCUUCCUUUUUCCAUUUCUUUUUGCUAUCUUCUGCAGUUUAUCCCAUGCCACUCAAGGGUCGAAUUCAAUUGCGCCACUGACGACCGCAUGCUUUUUGAGGAAUGUGAAGGGCGCAAAUUCCUCAUCGAGAUCAGGAAAUAACAUUGGGGAACCCGCAUCUAUGGCGUUGGGUGGGAGGACUUCAUCAGGUUGAAUAAUCUCAGUGAGGGAGUUUUGGUCUGUUUUGUACUGGAUGGACUAGUGCCAAAGUUGAAGAUUUCCAUGGUUGCGCUACCUCCCAACCAGGUUGAUCUAGCGCUUGAGGCUGCUGUUUUCACGAAAGACAUCAAGAUAAAGGCAAGAUAGAGUGCAAAGAUGUAUGAAACUCUACUAUAUUGACCAACAGAUACAUGGUGUGCCAUUUGUGCAACUUUUUUUGUUGAUAUCAUCAGUUUUCUGGUUCAUUA